This is a long non-coding RNA of Brassica napus (rape), 2370 nucleotides long. RefSeq lists it as uncharacterized. Lineage: Eukaryota; Viridiplantae; Streptophyta; Magnoliopsida; Brassicales; Brassicaceae. The transcript is spliced from 2 exons. The record is from RefSeq and is a predicted model, not a curated record.
UUUUAUCCGUUAAAUUUGAUUUGAUUCGUUAUUUGUUAUGAUUCGAUCCAAAAAAUCUGAAUAUCGGUAAGUCUUCGGAGCAAAGCAAAUACUAAAACUCAAUAUCUGUUAAAAACGAAGAAAAUUACAAAUAUUAAAAAAUUUAGAGACAGGUAUCCGCUCUGCUCCGCUUUAUACAACUAGAUAUAUAUCUACAAUUAAAUAUUAAAUUUCAAAUAUACAAUUUUAUAUAAUUAUUAUUUUAAAGUAUAGUUUUAUUAAUUUUAUUUAUAAAAUUACUUAUAAAAGUAUUAAAUUAAGAAAGGAGUAUACAAUCUUUAUAAAAACUACAAUUUUCUAAAAUUUUGUGUUUUAAAAAAUAAUAAUUAAUUUUAAAAUUUAUGGAACAUAUAGUUUCACUAAAUUUUUACUUUAUAUUAUGUAACAGAUAUCUUUUGAAAAAAGCUUGUAUAGUUUUUUUCCUGAAUUUAUUUGUAUCGAAUAUAAUAGAUGAGAUAUCUGUAAAGAUUUCUAAACACUAGUAAAAAACAUGGCCAUACCUACGAAUUUGCUACGCAAAUUUCGUAGCAAAAUCGAAAAAACCACGAAUUUGCCACUAUUUACUACGAAACACUAUUCGUAGCGAACAAUAUCAAUUUCGUAGCAAAUUUUGCUACGCUUUCGCUACGAAUGUAAACGUGGCAACAUAAUAGCUACGAUUUUGCUACAAAUAAUUCGUGGAUACAGAACAGAUACGAUUUUGCUACGAAAUUUUCCGUUGGUGUUACAGAAUAGCCACGAUUUUGCCACGAAAAAUUUGUGGCUACAUGAAACCCUAUACCCUAAAUAUGUGUUAACCCCAUAAACUCUAAGAAUAAACCUUAAAAAUCUAAUCUUUUCAUACUAUAACCUUAAAAUCUUAAAGUUUAAUUCAAAUUCAAUAUUUUUAAAAAUCUAAUCUUAAUUUUUAAAUCUAAACUCAAUACUAUAUCCCAAACCCUAAACUCUAUGUAUAAUCUUUAUAUCCUAAAUAACUAAUCUAAACAUUAAAUCUAAUGUUUUUAAAGUUAAACAAAAAAAUCAUAAAAUUUUCAUACUAUAACCUCAAAACAUUAAAUUUAAUAUUUUUUAAAAAUUAAUUCCAAAACUUAAAUUUAUACCUCAAACAUUAUUUUCCAAACCAUAUACUAUAACCCUAAACCUUAUACCCAAAUCAUAAAAUCCAAACACCAAACACCAAAACUUAAACAUAAACUACUAAUCUAAAAUUUUAAAACCUUAUUCUCAAAUUUACUCAAAACCUUAAACCUAACACUCCAAAUUAACCUUAUAUCAUAACACAAUACUACUUAAAUAACUUUAUAAAUUAUAUUAAAUCAAGUUGUGUUACCCUUAACCCAAACCUAACCCCAAUUCUAUCAGAACUUUUCAAUUUUAUAUUUUCAAUUUAAUCUUAUAAAAUUUAAAACUCAUACAAUAAAUAUAUACCUCAUUACCUAUUUUCUUAACUCCAAACCUUUAAUCAUAAAUAUAAACUUUCAACUUUAAACUUUUAAUUAUCAAACCCAAAUUCUAAUAUAUCUAAGUUGCAAUUCUAUUGAAAUCAAAACAUAAACAACAAAAACAUAAAUAUAAUCCUAAACUAUGGAAUCUAAUAAUAAACUAUUAAAGAGAUAGAGUGCUGAUUUCUCAUUGGUUCAUUUUGGAAUGGUGUGGAUAACCAUUUUAUGUUCCUAACCAUUGAUAAUAUUAGAUCCAACGGAUCAGAUUGAUUUGGUUUUGUUUUAACUUUUUCUUCCCUUCUCCCCCUCACAAGUUCCAUCGUCUCAUCUCCUCUUUCUUUGUUUUUGACUAAGAUUAUUCCUUCUUCUCCUCACGUACUCCAUCUUCUGCUCCUCAUCUACUCUUUUUCUCCUCUUCUUAUCAAUCUCAACUUAUCUCCUUUGCUCAAUCUCCAUUCAUCUCCAUGUCUAUCCCUACUCUACCUCCAUUCACACCUGCCGUCAUUAGCAUUAGUCGCCAUUGUCGUAGAGACCAAGCCGAUUUCAUGACUCUGUGUUUCAUCCUAUUUCUUCAUUGUUUGUGAAGAAGCAAGAUCUGAGAAGAAGCAGACACGUCGGAGGUGGUGGCGUGACGGAGGAAACGCGCUGGAGGUGGUAUAGUGACGGAACAGACAUGCCGGAUCUGGUGGUGUGACGAAGGAAACGCGACGGAGAUGGUGGUGAAGCACGGAAGCUACGGCGGUGGAGGUGCUGAAGCCGACGGUGACAUUCCUCUUUACCCGUAUAGAUGACGAUGUAUUUGUGUGUAUCUGUGUAUUUGUGUAUUUUGUGUAAUAUAUAUAAUAAUAAUAAUUUAAAAACAAAAAUUAAUUUUGUUUUUUUUUCUGAA